GUCGUAACAAGGUUCCCGUAGGUGAACCUGCGGAAGGAUCAUUAUUGAAUAAACCUGGUGGGUUGUCGCUGGUUCUUCGGGACAUGUGCACGCUCACCUUGCUUUAUCCAUCCACCUGUGCACAAUUUGUAGUCUUAGUGAGAGAUGAGAGUGGUUGACCCUGCUUCUCGACAUUUGUCGGAUUUGAAGAAUGUUGUGUGAAAGCAUAGCUAUCUUUAACAUUGGGAUCCAGUCAUGACUUGCUCACAAGUCUAUGUGUCUUCAUAAACUACAUAACAUGUCGCAGAAUGUAUUCAUGGGCCUUUGUGCCUAUAAAAAACUAUAUACAACUUUCAGCAACGGAUCUCUUGGCUCUCGCAUCGAUGAAGAACGCAGCGAAAUGCGAUAAGUAAUGUGAAUUGCAGAAUUCAGUGAAUCAUCGAAUCUUUGAACGCACCUUGCGCUCCUUGGUAUUCCGAGGAGCAUGCCUGUUUGAGUGUCAUUAAAUUCUCAACCCAUUCAGCUUUGUUAAGUUGGUAUGUGGCUUGGAUGUGGGGGUUUUGUGCAGGUCUCGAUAGAGGUCAGCUCCCCUGAAAUGCAUUAGCGGAACGGUUUGCGAUCUGUCACUGGUGUGAUAAUUAUCUACGCCGAAGAUGAUGAACGCUCUAUCUGUUCAGCUUACAACGGUCCUCUAU
Molecule: ribosomal RNA, 674 nt
Filed under: Cystolepiota sistrata
Lineage: Eukaryota; Fungi; Basidiomycota; Agaricomycetes; Agaricales; Agaricaceae
Description: eukaryotic LSU rRNA
Rfam family: 5.8S ribosomal RNA (bases 328-481)
Source: RNAcentral